UACGUAGGGGGCAAGCGUUGUCCGGAAUUAUUGGGCGUAAAGAGCGCGUAGGCGGUCCGAUAAGUCGGCUGUGAAAGUCAGGGGCUCAACCCUUGAAAGCCGGCCGAUACUGUCGGACUAGAGUCCGGAAGAGGCAAGUGGAAUUCCCGGUGUAGCGGUGAAAUGCGCAGAUAUCGGGAGGAACACCAAUGGCGAGGGCAGCUUGCUGGGACGGUACUGACGCUGAGGCGCGAAAGCGUGGGGAGCAAACAGG
RNAcentral lists this ribosomal RNA (253 nucleotides) under uncultured bacterium. Its description in RNAcentral is "partial 16S ribosomal RNA". It matches the Rfam family "Bacterial small subunit ribosomal RNA", at positions 524 to 776 of the family's 1533-position model. The record is from RNAcentral.